Molecule: transfer RNA, 109 nt
Filed under: Sclerotinia nivalis
Lineage: Eukaryota; Fungi; Ascomycota; Leotiomycetes; Helotiales; Sclerotiniaceae
Description: tRNA-Cys
Source: RNAcentral
GCUCUUGUAACUCAGUGGUAGAGUGGGCGAUUGCAGUAACACUCUGAUAGGAGUCGUUAUGGAAAAGUACGUUAUCGCCAAGUCGCUUGUUCGAACCAGGCCGGGAGCU